UGUAAAUUGGAAAAGAAGUGCUACUUUUCAACCUAGACUUAAUAAUUGAGUUUAAGGCCAUGAUCCCACCAGAAACAUUAACUGUUACAAAUGAUCAUUCUUUAUCAGCGAAUUCUCUCAUUGAAAGCAAAACUUCCGCCUGCAGCAUCAGUGCAAAUUAAAACGCAAAAGAGUCAAGUCACACAAACAAAUAACAGCGCAGCCGGCAUCAAAAUGUUGUUUCGAUUUCUGGUGAUUUUCAUGUUGCUAUCUGUAAACUUGCUAGUUUCGGGCAGAGUUUCACACUACUCACGAACCGCCACUCCGUGUCCCAGGGGAACGGUGUUCAAAUAUGGACGGUGCAUCAGACUUUCACAAUUCGGCCAACCGGGAUACUAUUCUAGCAGUUCUGGGUAGUUGGUGCUCGAUGCAGGGAAACAAUCACACAGCAUAUGAUAAAUUUCAUAUUGUAAACUAAACUUAAAUGUGUAUUUACGAGCUUUAAAUAAAAUGAUUUAUGAGAAAUACCUUCACUAAAACAUAAAAA
Long non-coding RNA from Culex pipiens pallens (northern house mosquito), 526 nucleotides. RefSeq lists it as uncharacterized. The record is from RefSeq and is a predicted model, not a curated record. The transcript is spliced from 2 exons. Lineage: Eukaryota; Metazoa; Arthropoda; Insecta; Diptera; Culicidae.